UCUAGCGAUUAUGCCCUAAUGGUAAUCCACGUUCCAAUACCGAACAGGUCGGUUAAGCUUUAAUGCAACCAUGGUACUGCGGGGGUGACCUUGUGGAAGAGUAGGUUGUCGCCAGGU
This 117-nucleotide ribosomal RNA is filed under the name Clostridium estertheticum. The record is from RNAcentral. Lineage: Bacteria; Bacillati; Bacillota; Clostridia; Eubacteriales; Clostridiaceae.